CGUGUAGGCGGCUUUGUAUGUCUUCUGUGAAAGCCCUCGGCUCAACCGAGGAAUUGCAGGGGAAACUGCGGAGCUCGAGUCCGGGAGAGGAAAGCGGAAUUCCCAGUGUAGCGGUGAAAUGCGUAGAUAUUGGGAGGAACACCUGUGGCGAAGGCGGCUUUCUGGACCGGUACUGACGCUGAUACGCGAAAGCUAGGGGAGCAAACAGGAUUAGAUACCCUGGUAGUCC
RNAcentral lists this ribosomal RNA (229 nucleotides) under uncultured bacterium. RNAcentral describes it as "partial 16S ribosomal RNA". It matches the Rfam family "Bacterial small subunit ribosomal RNA", at positions 568 to 796 of the family's 1533-position model. The record is from RNAcentral.